RNAcentral lists this microRNA (22 nucleotides) under Heligmosomoides polygyrus. RNAcentral describes it as "hpo-miR-10107-3p". Lineage: Eukaryota; Metazoa; Nematoda; Chromadorea; Rhabditida; Heligmosomidae. The record is from miRBase by way of RNAcentral.
UUAAAAUCCUUUUUGACCAGGA